RNAcentral lists this ribosomal RNA (496 nucleotides) under uncultured bacterium. RNAcentral's name for it is "partial 16S ribosomal RNA". It matches the Rfam family "Bacterial small subunit ribosomal RNA", at positions 28 to 507 of the family's 1533-position model. The record is from RNAcentral.
GAUGAACGCUGGCGGCGUGCCUAAUACAUGCAAGUCGAGCGAACAGACGAGGAGCUUGCUCCUCUGACGUUAGCGGCGGACGGGUGAGUAACACGUGGAUAACCUACCUAUAAGACUGGGAUAACUUCGGGAAACCGGAGCUAAUACCGGAUAAUCUCUUGAUCCUAAUGAUUCAAUAGUGAAAAAUGGAUUUGUUGACAUUUAUAGCUGGAUCCGCGCCGUGUUAGGUAGUUGGUAAGGUAACGGCUUACCAGGGAACCGAUCCAGGGCCCACCUGCGAGGGUGAGCGGCCACACGGAAACAGAGACACGCCCCACACCCUACGGGAGGAAGCAGUAGGGAAUCUUCCGCAAUGGGCGAAAUCUGGACGGAGCACCGCCGCGUGGUUGAGGAAGGUCUUCGGACCUUAAAACUCUGUUAUUAGGGAAGAACAAAUGGGUAAUUAACUAUGCACGUCUUGACGGUACCUAAUCAGAAAGCCACGGCUAACUACGUG